Molecule: ribosomal RNA, 442 nt
Filed under: uncultured bacterium
Lineage: Bacteria
Description: bacterial SSU rRNA
Rfam family: Bacterial small subunit ribosomal RNA
Source: RNAcentral
GAUGAACGCUGGCGGCGUGCUUAACACAUGCAAGUCGAGCGAUGAAGUUUCCUUCGGGAAACGGAUUAGCGGCGGACGGGUGAGUAACACGUGGGUAACCUGCCUCAUAGAGUGGAAUAGCCUUCCGAAAGGAAGAUUAAUACCGCAUAAUGUUGAAAGAUGGCAUCAUCAUUCAACCAAAGGAGCAAUCCGCUAUGAGAUGGACCCGCGGCGCAUUAGCUAGUUGGUGGGGUAACGGCCUACCAAGGCGACGAUGCGUAGCCGACCUGAGAGGGUGAUCGGCCACAUUGGGACUGAGACACGGCCCAGACUCCUACGGGAGGCAGCAGUGGGGAAUAUUGCACAAUGGGGGAAACCCUGAUGCAGCAACGCCGCGUGAGUGAUGAAGGUUUUCGGAUCGUAAAGCUCUGUCUUUGGGGAAGAUAAUGACGGUACCCAAGAG